GAUGAACGCUGGCGGCGUGCCUAAUACAUGCAAGUCGAGCGAACGGACGAGAAGCUUGCUUCUCUGAUGUUAGCGGCGGACGGGUGAGUAACACGUGGAUAACCUACCUAUAAGACUGGGAUAACUUCGGGAAACCGGAGCUAAUACCGGAUAAUAUUUUGAACCGCAUGGUUCAAAAGUGAAAGACGGUCUUGCUGUCACUUAUAGAUGGAUCCGCGCUGCAUUAGCUAGUUGGUAAGGUAACGGCUUACCAAGGCAACGAUGCAUAGACGACCGCUGAGGGGGGUCGGCCACCCUGGAAGUGGACCACGGUCAAUACUCCUACGGGAGGCAGCAGUAGGGAAUGUGCCGCAAUGGGCGAAAGCCUGACGGAGCGACGCGGCGUGAGUGAUGAAGGUCUUCGGUUCGUAAAACUCUGUUAUUAGGGAAGAACAGAUGUGUAAGUAACUGUGCCCAGCGUGACGGUAACUAGUCAGAAAGCAACGGCUAACUACGUG
RNAcentral lists this ribosomal RNA (497 nucleotides) under uncultured bacterium. RNAcentral describes it as "partial 16S ribosomal RNA". It matches the Rfam family "Bacterial small subunit ribosomal RNA", at positions 28 to 507 of the family's 1533-position model. The record is from RNAcentral.